Molecule: ribosomal RNA, 460 nt
Filed under: uncultured bacterium
Lineage: Bacteria
Description: partial 16S ribosomal RNA
Rfam family: Bacterial small subunit ribosomal RNA
Source: RNAcentral
CCUACGGGGGGCAGCAGUGAGGAAUAUUGGUCAAUGGCCGGAAGGCUGAACCAGCCAUGCCGCGUGAAGGUCAGUGCCCUAUGGGCGUUAAACUUCUUUUGUGCGGGAGCAAUAAUGGUCACGUGUGGCCAGACGAGAGUACCGUACGAAUAAGCAUCGGCUAACUCCGUGCCAGCAGCCGCGGUAAUACGGGGGAUGCAAGCGUUAUCCGGAUUUAUUGGGGUUAAAGGGUGCGUAGGCUGUGAGGUAAGUCAGCGGUGAAAUGCCCCCGCUCAACGGGGUGAAGUGCCAUUGAUACUGCCUUGCUGGAAUGCGGAUGCCGUGGGAGGAAUGUGUGGUGGAGCGGUGAAAUGCAUAGAUAUCACACAGAACACCGAUUGCGAAGGCAUCUCACGAAUCCGCGAUUGACGCUGAUGCACGAAAGCGUGGGUAUCAAACAGGAUUAGAUACCCCUGUAGUC